AGUGAACGCUGGCGGUAGGCCUAACACAUGCAAGUCGAACGGCAGCACAGUAAGAGCUUGCUCUUACGGGUGGCGAGUGGCGGACGGGUGAGGAAUACAUCGGAAUCUACUUUUUCGUGGGGGAUAACGUAGGGAAACUUACGCUAAUACCGCAUACGACCUACGGGUGAAAGCAGGGGACCUUCGGACCUUGCGCGAUUGAAUGAGCCGAUGUCGGAUUAGCUAGUUGGCGGGGUAAAGGCCCACCAAGGCGACGAUCCGUAGCUGGUCUGAGAGGAUGAUCAGCCACACUGGAACUGGGACACGGUCCAGACUCCUACGGGAGGCAGCAUUGGGGAAUAUUGGCCAAUGGGCGCAAGCCUGAUCCAGCCAUACCGCUUGGGUGAAGAAGGCCUUCGGGUUUUAAAGCCCUUUUGUUGGGAAAGAAAAGCAGCAGGUUAAUACCCCGCUGUUCUGACGGUACCCAAAGAAUAAGCACCGGCUAACUUCGUG
This 492-nucleotide ribosomal RNA is filed under the name uncultured bacterium. RNAcentral's name for it is "partial 16S ribosomal RNA". It matches the Rfam family "Bacterial small subunit ribosomal RNA", at positions 29 to 507 of the family's 1533-position model. The record is from RNAcentral.